GAUUGAAUAGUUUAAAUAAAAUAUUAAAUUGCAAAUUUAAAGAUAAUUUUUUUUUCAAUCU
This 61-nucleotide transfer RNA is filed under the name Trigonopterus sp. 6 AH-2016. RNAcentral's name for it is "tRNA-Cys". The record is from RNAcentral. Lineage: Eukaryota; Metazoa; Arthropoda; Insecta; Coleoptera; Curculionidae.